This 2901-nucleotide ribosomal RNA is filed under the name Escherichia coli. Its description in RNAcentral is "bacterial LSU rRNA". It matches the Rfam family "Bacterial large subunit ribosomal RNA". Lineage: Bacteria; Pseudomonadati; Pseudomonadota; Gammaproteobacteria; Enterobacterales; Enterobacteriaceae. The record is from RNAcentral.
UUAAGCGACUAAGCGUACACGGUGGAUGCCCUGGCAGUCAGAGGCGAUGAAGGACGUGCUAAUCUGCGAUAAGCGUCGGUAAGGUGAUAUGAACCGUUAUAACCGGCGAUUUCCGAAUGGGGAAACCCAGUGUGUUUCGACACACUAUCAUUAACUGAAUCCAUAGGUUAAUGAGGCGAACCGGGGGAACUGAAACAUCUAAGUACCCCGAGGAAAAGAAAUCAACCGAGAUUCCCCCAGUAGCGGCGAGCGAACGGGGAGCAGCCCAGAGCCUGAAUCAGUGUGUGUGUUAGUGGAAGCGUCUGGAAAGGCGCGCGAUACAGGGUGACAGCCCCGUACACAAAAAUGCACAUGCUGUGAGCUCGAUGAGUAGGGCGGGACACGUGGUAUCCUGUCUGAAUAUGGGGGGACCAUCCUCCAAGGCUAAAUACUCCUGACUGACCGAUAGUGAACCAGUACCGUGAGGGAAAGGCGAAAAGAACCCCGGCGAGGGGAGUGAAAAAGAACCUGAAACCGUGUACGUACAAGCAGUGGGAGCACGCUUAGGCGUGUGACUGCGUACCUUUUGUAUAAUGGGUCAGCGACUUAUAUUCUGUAGCAAGGUUAACCGAAUAGGGGAGCCGAAGGGAAACCGAGUCUUAACUGGGCGUUAAGUUGCAGGGUAUAGACCCGAAACCCGGUGAUCUAGCCAUGGGCAGGUUGAAGGUUGGGUAACACUAACUGGAGGACCGAACCGACUAAUGUUGAAAAAUUAGCGGAUGACUUGUGGCUGGGGGUGAAAGGCCAAUCAAACCGGGAGAUAGCUGGUUCUCCCCGAAAGCUAUUUAGGUAGCGCCUCGUGAAUUCAUCUCCGGGGGUAGAGCACUGUUUCGGCAAGGGGGUCAUCCCGACUUACCAACCCGAUGCAAACUGCGAAUACCGGAGAAUGUUAUCACGGGAGACACACGGCGGGUGCUAACGUCCGUCGUGAAGAGGGAAACAACCCAGACCGCCAGCUAAGGUCCCAAAGUCAUGGUUAAGUGGGAAACGAUGUGGGAAGGCCCAGACAGCCAGGAUGUUGGCUUAGAAGCAGCCAUCAUUUAAAGAAAGCGUAAUAGCUCACUGGUCGAGUCGGCCUGCGCGGAAGAUGUAACGGGCUAAACCAUGCACCGAAGCUGCGGCAGCGACGCUUAUGCGUUGUUGGGUAGGGGAGCGUUCUGUAAGCCUGCGAAGGUGUGCUGUGAGGCAUGCUGGAGGUAUCAGAAGUGCGAAUGCUGACAUAAGUAACGAUAAAGCGGGUGAAAAGCCCGCUCGCCGGAAGACCAAGGGUUCCUGUCCAACGUUAAUCGGGGCAGGGUGAGUCGACCCCUAAGGCGAGGCCGAAAGGCGUAGUCGAUGGGAAACAGGUUAAUAUUCCUGUACUUGGUGUUACUGCGAAGGGGGGACGGAGAAGGCUAUGUUGGCCGGGCGACGGUUGUCCCGGUUUAAGCGUGUAGGCUGGUUUUCCAGGCAAAUCCGGAAAAUCAAGGCUGAGGUGUGAUGACGAGGCACUACGGUGCUGAAGCAACAAAUGCCCUGCUUCCAGGAAAAGCCUCUAAGCAUCAGGUAACAUCAAAUCGUACCCCAAACCGACACAGGUGGUCAGGUAGAGAAUACCAAGGCGCUUGAGAGAACUCGGGUGAAGGAACUAGGCAAAAUGGUGCCGUAACUUCGGGAGAAGGCACGCUGAUAUGUAGGUGAAGUCCCUCGCGGAUGGAGCUGAAAUCAGUCGAAGAUACCAGCUGGCUGCAACUGUUUAUUAAAAACACAGCACUGUGCAAACACGAAAGUGGACGUAUACGGUGUGACGCCUGCCCGGUGCCGGAAGGUUAAUUGAUGGGGUUAGCGCAAGCGAAGCUCUUGAUCGAAGCCCCGGUAAACGGCGGCCGUAACUAUAACGGUCCUAAGGUAGCGAAAUUCCUUGUCGGGUAAGUUCCGACCUGCACGAAUGGCGUAAUGAUGGCCAGGCUGUCUCCACCCGAGACUCAGUGAAAUUGAACUCGCUGUGAAGAUGCAGUGUACCCGCGGCAAGACGGAAAGACCCCGUGAACCUUUACUAUAGCUUGACACUGAACAUUGAGCCUUGAUGUGUAGGAUAGGUGGGAGGCUUAGAAGUGUGGACGCCAGUCUGCAUGGAGCCGACCUUGAAAUACCACCCUUUAAUGUUUGAUGUUCUAACGUUGACCCGUAAUCCGGGUUGCGGACAGUGUCUGGUGGGUAGUUUGACUGGGGCGGUCUCCUCCUAAAGAGUAACGGAGGAGCACGAAGGUUGGCUAAUCCUGGUCGGACAUCAGGAGGUUAGUGCAAUGGCAUAAGCCAGCUUGACUGCGAGCGUGACGGCGCGAGCAGGUGCGAAAGCAGGUCAUAGUGAUCCGGUGGUUCUGAAUGGAAGGGCCAUCGCUCAACGGAUAAAAGGUACUCCGGGGAUAACAGGCUGAUACCGCCCAAGAGUUCAUAUCGACGGCGGUGUUUGGCACCUCGAUGUCGGCUCAUCACAUCCUGGGGCUGAAGUAGGUCCCAAGGGUAUGGCUGUUCGCCAUUUAAAGUGGUACGCGAGCUGGGUUUAGAACGUCGUGAGACAGUUCGGUCCCUAUCUGCCGUGGGCGCUGGAGAACUGAGGGGGGCUGCUCCUAGUACGAGAGGACCGGAGUGGACGCAUCACUGGUGUUCGGGUUGUCAUGCCAAUGGCACUGCCCGGUAGCUAAAUGCGGAAGAGAUAAGUGCUGAAAGCAUCUAAGCACGAAACUUGCCCCGAGAUGAGUUCUCCCUGACCCUUUAAAGGUCCUGAAGGAACGUUGAAGACGACGACGUUGAUAGGCCGGGUGUGUAAGCGCAGCGAUGCGUUGAGCUAACCGGUACUAAUGAACCGUGAGGCUUAACCUU